UUGCACGCUGGCGGCAGGCCUCACACAUGCAAGUCGAACGGUAACAGGAAGAAGCUUGCUUCUUUGCUGACGAGUGGCGGACGGGUGGGUAAUGUCUGAGAAACUGCCUGAUGGAGGGGGAUAACUACUGGAAACGGUAGCUAAUACCGCAUAACGUCGCAAGACCAAUGAGGGGGACCUUCGGGCCUCUUGCCAUCGGAUGUGCCCAGAUGGGAUUAGCUAGUAGGUGGGGUAACGGCUCACCUAGGCGACGAUCCCUAGCUGGUCUGAGAGGAUGACCGGCCACACUGGAACUGAGACACGGUCCAGACUCCUACGGGAGGCAGCAGUGGGGAAUAUUGCACAAUGGGCGCAAGCCUGAUGCAGCCAUGCCGCGUGUGUGAAGAAGGCCUUCGGGUUGUAAAGUACUUUCAGCGGGGAGGAAGGGAGUAAAGUUAAUACCUUUGCUCAUUGACGGUACCCGCAGAAGAAGCACCGGCUAACUCCGUG
This 489-nucleotide ribosomal RNA is filed under the name uncultured bacterium. RNAcentral's name for it is "partial 16S ribosomal RNA". It matches the Rfam family "Bacterial small subunit ribosomal RNA", at positions 30 to 507 of the family's 1533-position model. The record is from RNAcentral.